Molecule: ribosomal RNA, 468 nt
Filed under: uncultured bacterium
Lineage: Bacteria
Description: partial 16S ribosomal RNA
Rfam family: Bacterial small subunit ribosomal RNA
Source: RNAcentral
GACGAACGCUGGCGGCGUGCUUAACACAUGCAAGUCGAACGGAAAGGCCCUGCUUUUGUGGGGUGCUCGAGUGGCGAACGGGUGAGUAACACGUGAGUAACCUGCCCUUGACUUUGGGAUAACUUCAGGAAACUGGGGCUAAUACCGGAUAGGAGCUCCUGCUGCAUGGUGGGGGUUGGAAAGUUUCGGCGGUUGGGGAUGGACUCGCGGCUUAUCAGCUUGUUGGUGGGGUAGUGGCUUACCAAGGCUUUGACGGGUAGCCGGCCUGAGAGGGUGACCGGCCACAUUGGGACUGAGAUACGGCUCAGACUCCUACGGGAGGCAGCAGUGGGGAAUAUUGCACAAUGGGCGGAAGCCUGAUGCAGCAACGCCGCGUGCGGGAUGACGGCCUUCGGGCUGUAAACCGCUUUCGCCUGUGACGAAGCGUGAGUGACGGUAAUGGGUAAAGAAGCACCGGCUAACUACGUG